Molecule: long non-coding RNA, 1397 nt
Filed under: Homo sapiens (human)
Lineage: Eukaryota; Metazoa; Chordata; Mammalia; Primates; Hominidae
Description: PREDICTED lncRNA (TCONS_00182816)
Source: RNAcentral
GCCGGGGCGUCCCCCGCGGGAGCCCGCAGCCACCCGGGACGCGCAUCCAGACGUGGCGCUUCGGACCGGGCACGCUGCGCCCGGGGGCUCGGCGGACCCCGCGUAGCCGCCGCUUCGGAGCUUGUGCGGCGCGGGCUGGCCAGCGGGGCGGCCAGGGCCCGGCCCGCCUCCCCAGCGCCCGCCCGGCUUCUCCCCCUGGCGGUGGGAGCCUCGGCGGCCGCUGGCGACACUAGGCGCACUGAAGCCCGAGCCGAGCCGAGCCCGAGCCGCCGCCGCCGCCGCCGCUGCUGCGCACCGCUCCCGGGCUCCCUCCCAGCGCGCCGGCCGGGGUGUGGGGGGCGGCGGGCCGGAGGGGCGAGGGCGGGCCAGGGGGCGCACACGGGGGUUGGCGCGGAAGACAGGACCCUCAGCCUCGAGGGAGCCCCUAGGUGACCAGGCAAAAUGGCAGUUCCUUCCAGCUGGUCCUCAGAUGGGCACAUCUAUUAGCCUCUGCUCUUGUAAGAAGUUAGCUGCAGAACCCACAUGUGAAUCCUUGUAGUGCUUUAUCAAAUUUCUACUAUGAACUAAGAACUGAGUGCUAUGGGAGACACAAAGGAGAGUCAGGACUCUGGAGAAGAUCAAAUGGGAGCUUAGAUGUGGAAGCUCUUUGGAAACCAAGAAACACUCUGAAAAUGAAAAGGGAACAGUUUGUGGACUUGCGCUGGCCCUUGGACCACACUUCGAGUGACAUUGUUAUAGAUGACACGGUCUCUUAUAGGAAAAUGCACAGUCUUUCUUAGAUUCUCUACCUCCCUCUUCCAUCUCAUUCCCAACAUAGAUCUGGGUACAUGAGUGGGGUCUUAUUAUAAUCUUGUGACACCCUUGGAUCAUGCACUACCCUCUAAAUAAUCAAUAGUUUCUACUAUAGAGAGGCUCAAUUUAUCUUCUCCCUGGAAUUGGGACCACUGAAAUAUAACUAGAACCCAACUGAUCUUUUGAGAUGUUGUGUGCUUGCCCUUACUGCUACUGCCGUAGUUCUGAACAUUUCCCCAAGCAUCAAAAAGGCCCCAUGGCCUCUUUUCCCCUAGACCUCUGCCAGUCCACCAACACUCUCAGUGGGGAAGUAAGAAGCCUGGUGGAUCCUGCUUCCCACACAAAGGCCAUGAUGAGACAGAUGCUUUCUAAGUCCGAUAUAUCUACCCACUUUCUGCUGUCACCUCUGUACCUCCUGAGUCACAUGGAAUGUGGUGCUGAGCCAAAUGGUCAGUCUUCUAGAAGCAGUGGAAUGUUGGAGGCAGCUUAUACCUUAGCUGAUUCUUAAAUUUUCAGGAAUUUUGUGAGCCAGUUUUUAAACACAGCCAUUGUUGAAAAUUAAACAAUAUAAACUUAUAAUCAAAUAUAUUAAAAAUAAAGAUAAU